UGAUAUAGCUCUUGGUGCAGCGAAAGGGCUUGAGUACUUGCAUCAUGGGUAUGAGAGACCGGUAAUUCACCGUGAUGUUAAAUCAAGCAACAUAUUGCUAGAUGAGUACUUGAAACCUAGGAUUGCGGAUUUUGGUCUUGCCAAGAUUCUUCAGGCCAGCAAUGGCGGUCCAGAUUCCACCCAUGUCGUUGCGGGAACCUAUGGCUACAUAGCUCCAGGUAUAUGAAGAGACUAAAUUCUUAUAUCAUCAACUUUUUAUGGUCUUACAUUUUGAAUUACAUUUUAACAUUUAAAAAUCUUGUUGCAGAGUAUGGAUAUGCGUCAAAAGUGACUGAGAAAUGCGAUGUAUAUAGCUUCGGGGUCGUGUUGAUGGAGCUGGUCACAGGGAAAAAACCGAUAGAGGCAGAGUUUGGAGAGAGCAAAGACAUAGUGAAUUGGGUGAGCAACAAUCUGAAGAGCAAAGAGAGUGUGAUGGAGAUUGUGGACAAGAAGAUAGGAGAAAUGUAUAGAGAAGAUGCAAUCAAGAUACUGAGGAUUGCAAUCCUCUGCACGGCGAGACUUCCUGGACUAAGACCGACGAUGAGGAGCGUGGUUCAAAUGAUCGAGGACGCGGAACCAUGCAGAUUGAUGGGGAUUGUGAUCAGCAAAGAGAGUGAUGUGAAGAUCAAAGAAAUAAGUUGAUGAUUGAGGGACCAAAGUCACUCUUUUGGGGUCUAUUUUGGUAACUAAGAAACUUAGAGAGAGACUAAUGUGGAUCAUCUAAAUCUAUUAAGACGUAAGAGUUUAGAUGGAGAAUGUGAUUCUAGUACUACUUCUGGUUAUGAAAUCAUAGGUAUUGUAAUGAUCUCAUGUAAACUAUUUUCUUGUAAUUGUAGAAUUUUAAGGUUUUCAAAUUAGUUAAUGAAGAAGGUCAACUACUCUGUUAAAUUUAUGGUCCCAUACUAAUACUUUACUUAAGAAGUGCAUAUUCGACUGGUAAAACAAUGUCUAUAAACUUGCUAUAUCAAUCACAGUUAUAUUUAUUUUUCGUCAACAAUGCAUAUUUGAUUCAGAAAAUUCUCAAAACGAAACCAAAUGCAAAUUGGAUUCUUGGUGUGAUGACAUAGACCAAUUAUUAUUGUAAUAUCCUCUCGUGUGAUUUCUAAAAAGUUAGUCAAAUCUACGUAUGCUCAAAAACUUUUGUAGUUGCCCACUUUGACCAACAACAUAAUAAAAGAAGAAGAAGGGGAAAUUGUAUAUUUCUUCAUUCUUCACAAGCAGACAACAAUGCUUCUCUGCAUUAUUUCGAACGAUAAACUUGUAUUAUCUUUCUGAAAGUGGUCGGCAAUUCUUAAUCUCUUAUAAUGAUGACUUUAAAAGCAUAGGACUAUAGAUAUUUUACAUUUUAGUUUUUGAUUAGAUAGAGCAAAACUCAUUAGCGGAUAGUAAAUUAAUCUCGUUAACGUCAUCUAAAAGAAGCGUUCACAUGUGCAAUUUGCAAAAUUUCCGUAAUUGAUUCAGUUUGUACAAUUGCAUUAGUUACAGAGCUAAAAUCAAAAAUGGAACCAUUGUUUAUUCGGUACCUAACACAUUGCCACAAGACUAAUCUUACAACUUUAACAAAUUAGUAUCGUUUUCUUCUCUUGGUUUGCCAAUGAUUAAAAUCACACUCAUCACAAGCAUUUAAAAGUAAUCACAUUGUUUAUCACAUGAUCCAAUUAAUUGUAAAUAAACAUUAAAAAAAACAUAUGCUUUAAUGUGUGGUGGACCAAAAAACCCCACUAAAUUGCCUAGUCUUGUUAGUGGUUGAACUUGAUUAUGUAAGACUAAAAAAUGCGCUAGGAACCUGAACGAACCGGUUGAUCCUGAUGUAUUUUGGACAAUUAACCGUGGAUUGGCCAAAGAACCAGACCCGAAUCACUAACAACAACAGACCGGACUAAACGAAUCUAAUACGCAUUGUUAAAUUGGCAGAAAGCUGUGGAGGAAUUUCAAGAAGACCCUCAAAGUGGAAGUGAUCAGAGCCAGAAGAAGCACAAAAAUGAUCAGAGUAAAGAGACGAUGAACAAGGAGAGCUCACAAAAUGAAGAAGAACCAAAAGAAAAGUACAUUCAUAUGAGGGCAAGAAGAGGUCAAGCCACUAACAGUCACAGUCUUGCAGAGAGGGUAAGGACUCUUUUACCGAUAUAUCGAUUAUGAGAAUCCGCUCUUUGUUUUCUACCAAUUACUGGUUCUGAGAAGUUUGCUGCUUUGUUUGUUGUUUGAAGGUUAGGAGAGAAAAGAUCAGUGAAAGGAUGAGAUUGCUUCAAGAGCUUGUUCCCGGAUGCAACAAGGUAGAGUGGGGUUUAGCUUAGAGGUGGCUUUUAGCAGUUUAAAUUCCUUUUGUUUCCGACAAAAUUUUGCUGAAAGUCUUCAUUGUUGAUAAUUGUUCAACUAGAUCACCGGAAAAGCGUUUAUGCUUGAUGAAAUCAUCAACUAUAUUCAGUCAUUGCAACAGCAAGUUGAGGUAAGAAUAUCCCAACAAUGCAAGAUUCUUGAAACGCUCAAAUUAGUUUGGUCACAGUAUGGUCUGAAAGAGGUUUUCAUCUUGACAAACUGCUUUUAUUUUCUUCAGUUUUUGUCUAUGAAACUUGCGACGGUGAAUCCAGAUAUCAACAUUGAUAUAGACAGGAUUCUCGCCAAAGAUGUAAGAGCUCAAAAUCCCCCAUAACUUCGCAUUGAAAACAUAGUUUGCAAGUUAUGAAUAAGUACUAAACCUCUGCCAUUUUCUCAUUUUAGCUUCUGCAAUCAAGAAACAGAAACAUUCCUACACUCAAGCUGAAUAGUUCGAUAGUUUUUUUCCUAUAAGAGUUUAAUGUGUCAUUAAACUUGCCAAAAAAUCUGUAUUCAAAAGAAUUCUCCUAUACCCUUUUCCUAUAUUUUCAGUCUGAAAACAAAAAUCCCAUCUCUUCUUCGGUGAGCUUCUCAAUAGAAGAACAGUAGUCAUCGACCCUGUAAAAGAAACAUCUCAUUCAUCAAAUUAAUUGUCAUAUCAACUGUUGGCAGAAUAUAAAUUUGAUUUGAAUUUUACCCUGCCAAAGUGUUUUGUUUUUCUUGUAGAACAUCAAUGAUCUUCUCUUCAAUCGUUCCUUUUGAUAUGAACUUGACCAUCCUGCAUCACAAAAAAAUCAGAACAGUUUUUCAAGUUGUCAAAAGAAGCAAAAUCAUAACACUUCCAAAUUCUACCUCGUUGGCUUGCUCUGUCUGACGGUCUGAACUCGAGCGAGGGCCUGGCGAUCAGUUAUUGGGUUCCACCCAGGAUCCAUCAGAAAAACAUGAGAUGCCACACUCAGGUCGAGCAAAUCUCCGACUAUUUCGAAUGUCGUCAGCAAGAUCUUGCACUGACCAUCUUCUUUGAACCGUUGUAGUGCGGCUUUGCCAUCAGCAGAUUCGCUAAGUUUCACACAUCGCAGACCACUCUACACAAAACAAGUGAUUAGAUCAAAUGAAGUUUUUCACACUCUGCCUCCUACAGAGAUCAUCACAUGAACUACUCACCCUCCUGACCAAAUUCAGCAUAUACCGAUUUUCAAAGUCAAGCCACACCUUAAGCAUCCAAAAACUUUUAGCUAGCAAUAAAAUUUGAACCGACUAAGAGGAGAAGAGAAUAACACGAGACAUAAAACUAAACUAAGAUCUUUCCUAAUGUUCUUCUGCAACUAAAAACUAUUCUCCCUCCUGACCAAAUUCAGCAUAUACCGAUUUUCAAAGUCAAGCCACACCUUAAGCAUCCAAAAACUUUUAGCUAGCAAUAAAAUUUGAACUGACUAAGAGGAGAAGAGAAUAACACGAGACAUAAAACUAAACUAAGAUCUUUCCUAAUGUUCUUCUGCGACUAAAAACUAUUCACCUUCCUCAACAAUUCAUUAUCAAGCACAAAGUUAAAGUCCAGAAUACCUUGGUAAGUUGCCUCUCUAUCAGCUCCAAAAAGGAUUUGUAACGGCUGAAAAUGACAGCUUUUGCAGAUUCAUCGGUCCCAAGCAUCCACGUUAUCUCUUCUCUCUGUCAAAAUGAAUACAUAGAUGAAUUAGAUAACAUAUUGAGAAGACUAAAAGACAAAAAAGAAUUCCAGUGGAAAAUUGAUACCAAAGCUUCAAUUUUUGUACAGGAGCUUCUUAGAAUGAUGCUGUUAGUGUCUUCUGCCUUGUCAGGUUUUCUCUUUCCCUUCAAGCUGGCGUGAAGAAGAAGAUUUCUUUUGAAGGUAACUCCGCAUGUUGGGCAGCAGGAGCGUGCUGCGGAUGCUGAAAGGGCACACGGGUACACACGGAACAAACAAUCCCUACAAUAUAUAUGAGUGCACGGAAGGACCUGCAAAGAAAUUAGGUUAGUUUGGUGCCCAAAAGAAAAAAAGCUGAAAUAACAGUGGAGAGAAAACUCACAAUCGCUUCUUGUGAUGCUCUACCGCAUAUUCCACAAAAAUCUGAGAGAUCAACAAGAUCUAAGUGCAUCGAAGCCUGCAAAUAUUGUGAUUAGUUAACGAUCCAGUCCCUUUUUGAUUUGGUAAAGUACAAAUUAAUAUACCUGUUUUAGACGAUUAAUGAGACAGUGAAUACGAGCAUAAUUCUCCAUUAAACUUUCAUCCUGAAAGUAAGCUGCGAAUUCCUUAUUAAUGAAUGACUUGAGCUGUUUAUACAUUUUCUUUUCUGCUUUAGUUGGGUCAUCGCGCCUCACGGUAACCUAUUUGCAUAGCAUGGAACGCAUCACAUAAGAUCAAUUUCACAGAGUAGAUAUCAAAACAGAAUGAAAAGGGCACUUACAUAGCUAGGAGGAAAAGCAGACUUCAGGGAAAGGGACCCUUUGCUGGGUCGAAGACACAGAUCUGUUAAGCAAGUGGCAAUGCCGCCCUGGAAUUUGUAUUUUUCCAGCCAAUGUGAGUGGCGAUCAGAGGAUUUGUGCCUACAUGUUGGGCAUUUUGUCCAAAAUCUGCAAGAAAAAGGAACUCAAUAGAAAUUUAACAGUGAUCAAAAAGGGGAAGAGAAAGCAAGAGAUGUAAUACCCUAAAUCCGCACAGUUGCAUUUACAGUCUAGGCAGAAGUGGAGUGAAUACGGGUCGGUUUGCAAGAAUCGAAGCUGUGCCAAAAGAAAAGAGGAAAAAAAAAGAAAAGUAGAAUCAGGGAGGUGGGUCUUUAUGUAGUAAGAGCAAACAACAAGGAAAUAACUAACCAGAGGAUAGAGAUGGUCAGUGUAAAGUCUACUAGUAAGAAUCCAUCGAAACUUUGCCUUCAGGGCGAAAAUCGCUUGAUCUCCUCCUUCCAAGAGGUGGCCCUCGUCCAAAAAAACCCUUUCCCACUCAGUUGAGUGGAGUGGCCCGAUCGUUUUCCCCUUUUUCUUUAUGUCUCUGUGUUUGUCGCAGAAGUGCUGUGGUUUGACUGAGCUAAGAAGCUUGUGGCAGUGUGGGCAACACACUGUUUUGUACCCUCUCUUGACGGUUGCAUGACUAGUUAUGACAAAGUCGAAAGCUGUCAAGUCUUCAACUUUGCAUCCGUCAUCAAAAACAAACACUUUAGCCUUAGAAAGUUUGGCAAUAUCUUCUUCCCACUGAGACAUAGAGAGUACUGGGGCAAUGAUCAACGUUUUGGACAAUGGCUGUUCCUGGAUAGCCAGCAGUACGGACUCGAUGCUCUUGCCCAAAAAUGCUUCAUCGACAAUGAUACCCCCUCCAUAACCUAACUCUGUUUCUUUGACGACGUCGUCGAGCGAUUUCUCUUGAGAUGAAAGAGGCUCGAGAUACUUUUCCUGCAAUUUCCAAGAUAACCAAUCACCUUAACAGUUACAGACUAACAAUGGCGAAUUCAACUUGUAAUCACUACUUAUUUCAAUCUCUGGAACAGAGGUAGUAUGAAAUCACAGAAUUAGGGUCCAAAAUCAAGAAACAAGAACAGCGGAAAAAGGAAACCCUAAACAAUCGCAGACAGAUUCUGCAACUUACUUUGGAAUUUGGGUCAUGAAAUCAAAAUCGACAAAGGAAAUUAUAUGACAGCCGCAGAAACACAAAACCCUAAAAAAUCAUUCUCGCGCGACAAAGCUUCAGCGUUAACUAACAACGUCGAAUUCGAUGUAUAAACCAAAGAAAAUUGUGAUGCAACAACAUCAAACAAAGCCACCGCAUAAAAUCCAUUAUAUGAAACCCAGAACAUCAAAUCAAAGAAACCUAUUUGCAGUCAUAACUAAAAUUGACAAAAUUCUGCAACUUGAUUUCAAAUUGGGUCAUGACAUCAAGAUCAUAAAAGCCAAUUAUAUGACAGAGGCAAAAACCCUAAAUAUUCAGAGUCGCAAAAACCCAAAAUUUCUGAAGAUCUUUAAUCACGCGACAAAGCUUUAGAUGUUACCUCGCCGGUCGAUUUCUGUUCUUCUUCAACUUUCUUCUCCAUUGGGUUUUUCACGUCUUCUUCGCUUAUGGGGGUUUCUAAUGAAAACAGAAAAUUGAAAUUUUUUUAAGAGACGAGAGAGAUGACUCGAAAGAGGAGAGAGCGUGAGAGAAUCUCAGAGGGCUACUAGCUGUUUAAAUUCUGUCUCUAGUUACCGUUGUGAGCAAUUUUUUUUUUCUUUUCUUCAAAACAUCAAACAAUUUUGUUUUCAACUCAAAAUUCUUUUAACAAAACUGACUUGAUUAAUUUUUUAAUAUUUUAAUCAUACUUAAAUUAUAUUUCUGCCAGAAGCUCAUUAUUGUGAUGGGCCAACCAAGCCCGUUUUUACAUUAUUAACGGUUAACCGUUCGGUUAUCGGUUGGGUCCAUUCGGUUUCGGUUCUUUCGGUUUCAAAAUUUAGUAUCCAUUCGGAUAUUUUAAAAUUUCGGUUCGGUUUCGGUUCGGUUCCGGUUCUUUCGGUUUUAAAAUUUAGUAUCCAUUCGGUUAUUUUGCUUAGAAUAUUUUCGGUUAUUUUUUAGUAUUUUCGGAUAUUUUUGGAUAUUUUUCGGUUAUUUUCGAGUAUUUUUACUAUUUUUAUAUAUUUUUCAAGUAUUUUUGAUUAUUUGGUUUAUAAAUAAUUAAUUAUUUUGAAAAUAUAAUUUUAUUUCGGGUAUUUCGGUUACCCGAAAUAUUUCGGUUCGGUACCGAUUCGGCUACGGUUAUUUCGGUUAUAGAAUUUAGUAUCCAUUCGGUUAUUUUCAAAUUUUCGGUUCGGUUUGGUUUUUUUUGCUUCGGUUUCGGUUCGGUACAUUCGGUUCGGUUUAUUUGCCCAGGCCUAAUUUAACCUUUUUAUUAUCAUCAGUGGUUAAAAUAUCCUCUUAUGAAAAUUUUAAAAACGUUGCAAGUUUCAUCUUCAAACCUAUCUAUUAUCAUUACUAACUAGGUGAUUGCCCGCGCGCAUGCGCGGGAAGAAUGCUGCAUCCUCUUAUGAAACUUGCAACGAUGAAUGGACUGUGUACUUUUCUUAUCAUUUAUCUCCGUAUUUGAUGUGGAAUUUUCAUAAACAUAAAACAUACUUUCGUAAUAUUGACAAGGGAUACUCUAACAUGAUAUUUUUGGGCUAGACCGAGCUUUGGCCCUAAUUGACAUGGUUAGUGAUGAGUUUGGUAACCUCUAGUCUGACUUUAUUUUUUUAUGGAAAUAAACUUUUUUUUUUUUUAACUUCAAACACUCCAAUAUAUUAAGUUAAAAGCAUACAAACUCUCCUCUAAAGAGUGCCGAACAAAGACCAAUAAACUUACACAGGAGGAUAGAUAACCACAGUAUGUUGCUUCGAGAGCAAUACAACAUCCAGGUCUUAAUACAACAAGACAAGAUAGCUAAGAUUGUAGAACUAACAACAAAAGAAAUAGAAAUACUAGUGAUAAAGAGUUCCACCACAAAGGAAGGAUUCUUGUAGAUGCACCUACCAUUAAAUUAUUCAUCCAGUUAAAAGGCAUGUAAAAAUGUAGGUCAACAACAUAUCAAAUAGUAUACUUUACGAGAGUCACACCUUUUUAAAUUGGUUUUCCCAAUAAUGGUUUCAAUAUGAUGCACGUUCAUUGUUGAUCAACAUGUUUAGAGGAGAAGACAUUGAAUCAAAACCAGGGAAUCCAACCUGAAAAAAUAAGCAACAGAAGCAACUCUGACUGUCAAUCAAAUAUUCUAGACUUAGUAAGUUCAACCUCUGUGAUGGGUAAGAAGACAAAAAAUGGAUGGUCACAGCAUCUAAACAUCGUGAUAAACAAUAUGAGCCCGUAGAUGGUCACUCAAGUCAAUAGAGAAACAGUCUGUUGUGUCCUACGAUUUUUUCAUUAGAACCCUUACCUGGAUUGUAUUGCAAGAUGGAGUCAUUGCAGAGUGAUGAACACGUUGCUAACUGAUGAGCAGGUAAGUCAAGCUACAAAACAAAUGAACAACUAGUCUAAAGAAUGCUGUGUGUUGGCAUGUGCGUGUAGAUUGAAGCUUGCUAUUGAUUCUUUGGUCUUUUCUCUUUCACAAUAAUAACUCACCGAGAUUUGUAAUGAAAGGAACUCCCUGAAAUCUAAAAAUACAAAAGAAAUACGAGGAAUGCAAAACACAUGAAAAUGCAUAAAAAUAAAAGAAGAACGAAACGCCAAGAUUUCAUGUAAACCGCUAACCUUCAGGUUCUAUUGUGUCAUCAAGUAUCCAGAUCAAUUUUAUCAAGCAAUCCUGAGAUGAAAUUUUCAGUUCAACCUGUCCGUGUGUAGUUGCAUGGUAACAAUUUGUGAGAAUGUCGGUAAACAAUUACCAGUCACCCUCAAAAUUGUCGUGUAUGAAUUAGUUGCUUACUCACAUAGUCCAGAGGAGAAGAAAUAAUUACCUGCAGCCCAUUUGCUGUCAAAGACAGUACCUUCUGGUGCAUAAGUUGUCUCACGAACACUGAAUUCAUUACUAACAGGACCAUGCUCUGCAGAUUGGACUACACACAUCUGACAUACAAGCAGAAGAGUAAGACUGUUCAAAUAUUACCAUUUUUAACAACACAAGGAGAAAAUUUAUACGCAAGAAUGUAACUACUGCAGUUAGUUAUUCACAAGAUCUACUAGCAAAGUUGUUAAUCCUUCUUACCUGAAGCUCUAUUUGAUUAGUCCCCAGACGUGCAAAACUGCAAACAUAUAUAUGGUCAUGUGUAAUAUGAAGGAAGAUUUGACCUUCCAAGAUAUUACUAGAAACAAUUCAAAUAGUAAAUUGCAAGGGGCAGAUACCCAUCAGAGCAAACAUGCCCGAAGCAGUGGAGGUUAAAAUGCUAACACCGACAUCAUAUUGGUAGUCAAUGUUCCAGUCUUGUCACUGCAAAUUACAGAAGUGCAACCAAGCGUCUCGACUGAUGGCAAUGACCGUACUAUAGCAUUCAAACGAGCCACCUAGAUACCAAAAGCGACAUAACCUAUUUAAGCAGCAAUAUCAUAACCAGGAGUAGACUCCUAACGUGUAAAAUAACUUUUUCAAAGCAUUUUGGACUCAACCUACAUUAGAGUGAGCUGACUUGAAACAAGACUGUCAUUUGAUGACCACAAGAACCACCUACUCUCUGGGAAAUCCUUGUUUCCAAGAUAUCACUUGCACAGUUGCAGUUAAUCAAUUCUCGCCAGACAUGCAUCGCAUUGCAAUUCCAAAAAUUCCUCUGCACAGUAGAAAUGUCUCGGAGAGCAAGUGAAGAGAUAGGCUGCCGCUGCUCUCUGUUGCUGGAUAAGAGGAUGGAGGUUUGCUCAGUUGCAAUCUCUAGCCUCUCUUUUGAUUUAGACGGUUCGGACACCAGAGUCGAAACCAGAUUUUGCAGAAGCUGGACUCUUUCUCCAUGAUCCUCAGCGUUACUUCUGAAUGUCUUGCCAAAAGACGUACUGAUCCUGCGCCACCUCAGAGGAAGAUAUCUGUCUGGGACCGGAAAAUAGUUUCCGGUAGAGAGAACAUGGAGUGCGUGCCUGCAGAGAAACCCAGAGAAGUCAAACAGUUGGCAAUUGCAGCUUAUGAUGCCUUCUUGAGGAACCCAAUAAACUUUUCUUCCUCCACUGAGUUUUGUGUGGUGCCUCACGAGAUACCAGUCAUCCAUCUCGAAAGAUGCGUAGAGAGCUGCAAGCACAAGCUGUGCUUGGAGAUUGGAGAAAGCGGAAGGAGUGAGGACUGAGGCUGCUAGAGAUUCCAUGGGGAAACCAGUUUUAGGCUGAUGUUCUGGAGAUUAUGUUGUAUUGUCUGCUGUUCUAUGGCUUGGUCUUUGAAAUCCACAGCAACAGCCACCUGGAUUCCACCUGUUACUCAAAUAAGUAACAGCAAAUUCAAUACACGUAAAAAAACAUUUCAUGAGAUAAAAUGCAUAAACCCUAUAUAAUAAAUGGUUGAACCAUUAAUAUAUAUAAGAGCUCAAAAUAGCUCACUUCAUUAUCCAUAGUCAUUCUUCUUACAAUGAGUAACAUAUUCAGUUCCAAUAUAGAAGAUUUCAUCUAGACCAGCAACGAGUAAACACUGUCAGGAGGAGAAGAAAACAUACUGGUUCUACAAAUUGAGGUAGCCGGGUUUGUGCGCUCAAGAACCUCUGAAUCAAGGAGUUGAUUGGCUUUGGAUCGGCCAGUCAAAGUCAUUCCAGCUAAAAAAUGGUUUCUCAGGUAUGGUAAAGAACACAAGGAAUGUGCGACAUACAGUUUGUUUAUGUGGAGUCCAAAGGAGUUCACCAUGUCUCUUCCAACCCAACUCGAACUCCUCAAUGGAUUCCAGAUGUUAGAUGCGGAUAGAAUUCAACUCCAGUCACUGUACCGCUCCCCAAGACCAGCAUUAAACCAGGAUGGAAACUUUCCAACAACUAUCCAUAUGCAGAGUUCAUGCUUAGAUGGCUUCUUUGAGUUACAUAUUCGUCCUACUCACAGACAAUUUCCAAGAAUUUAAAAAGUAAAUAAGUGGAAAAGAAACUUUAUCAGCUUAGUAUGCCAUUUUGUUACUUGUAGUGCCCAUGACCACGAUCUAAAAUUUUCAUCCCAUAGAAGUACACAACAGAAGAAGCAAUGCACACCAUAGUUAUUAACUCGAACCCAUAUUCCAAGCGGCAUCUCAACUGCACUUAAGCAAUGUGUUGUAUCGAAAACUACAGCAUCUCCAAAGAUUCCAUAUGACUGAAUGGAAGAUGCAUAUGACCAGGCAAUAAUUUCUAGCUUAUCAUUUGCAUCCAACGUAAACUCAAACUUAAAGUUAGGGUCUUUCUCCUUUAUGCUUUGGCACAUCCUCAGGAAAUCAAUGUUCUCAUCCUCAGGAUCGAGUUUCUUGAAGGACUGAAGCAUAUUCCUGACAUCCUUUUCAGUGAAUGGUAAAAAGCCUAGCUCGACACACUUCUCAAGCUCUACCAUCCGCAUCGAUAGGUGUGUUACCAGCACGGUGACAAACAAAGUACCGCCUAGUAAUUCCUUUUGCAUCUCCGUCUUUUCUUUCUGUCCUGUGAAAUAUCCGCCUAUUUUCAUGCUUUUCCUUAACAAAUAUGCAUCCAUACGAGAACUAAGGUGGUUUAUAGCAAGGUAAAGGUUCCCCUGUGAGGGUUAAGGAGGGUUCUAGUAGACUAUGCAGAAGCUGCUAAAAGUAACAAUACAUAAAACGAAAAAUACAGAAACGCCAGUCCACUCGACCCAGGACAAUGGCGUGACCUAUAAAGCAGUGAACAUGAGACUGAAAAGAAGAAAACAGGUACGCCACGGUAGAUGGAUUCCAAUCCUCAAAUAUGUUGCAGGGAUAAGUUGUCUGUCUAAGUUCAUCAGAAAUGAGAUUAUUCAUUUUCAUAUAACUACAAUGAAACAUAUGAUCAGCAACUUGGGGAAUAAGUUCAAAAAUGCUGAGGUUGACACACAUGAAUGAUGAAAUAAUCUGUAAAAUGCAGCUGGAGAUCAAAACCUAACCAGUUCGCUAUAAGUCUAGGACCACCAUCAGAGUAAAUAAACAACCAUAUAAAGCCAGCCACAGUUGCCAGACGCCAACAUAAACUGCAAAGAAAGAUAAACAAAUUAAGCAGAUAGGUCCUCUUCAGGGAUAAAUGCUUGGCGCAAAUUCAACUUUCACUACUUGACCACAAAGAUUCCAAUAUAUUAGUUUAGCAUAAAUGAUUAAAAUUAGUUACAAAGCCACCAUUUUUGUUUACCUCUGAUAACCAGAUAGUGGAAGAAUUACCACCCAGUGACCAUUGCUUCACCAACCUGGAAUUCAACAACAAUCAAAGCAAUAAUGAAGAUAAAAUGUCUAAGUAGUUUGAAAAUAAAUUGGCACAUUACAGGGAGAUAGUUAUUGAGAAGUUCAAAACCCCUUCUUCAAGUUUAAUGACAAGUACCAUCAUCAUUAGAACCAUAAUGUUUGUAAUCAAAUCAGUAUAGUAUUACGAGCUCUGUGCGUGAAUUCAAACUGAUGCUAUAUCGUGCGACAGCAAACAUAUAUCAAGUUACAUCUCUCCAUGAACUAAAAUCCACAAGGAGUUAAUACAGUUACAGCUGCUACUUUUCGGGGUUUUUGCCUUCCUAACAUCGGAAUCUUAUCUAUUAAAACCAAUGGCAAUGGUACGCAAUUCAUCGGUUACCAAAUUGACCCACAGAAGUUGAACCUACACUUGAUCACCAUAACAGUUAUAAAUUUCGGACAAGCUUUAUAAAAGUAAACUCUGCAGAUAAUACUAUCACAAAAUUGAUGCGAUUGAAUUGAAGACCUAAGUCGAAAAGAAAAGAAAAAGAUACUUCCAGGCUAAAAAAGUUAUCAGGGAUUCCCAGUACAGCUGCAACAAAUAUACAGACCACUUCCCCAAUAUAUGAAUUGCUUCUGUGCUGUUAUAUAUAGCCCUUCCUUCUGCAACAACCUGUCAAGACGAGAAAAAGUUUAGGAGGUUGCAUCAACAAAGAAACUUACCGCAACUAUUGAAGCAAAACUAUCAUCUUCCAAAAUCAUAACUGAUGCACUCUGGAAUUCACAGGGAGCUUGUAUAGAAAAUGGCUUUGGUUCUAAGUAUCAUAUGUGUUCUUCCAUAUUAUUUUUUGUCAAAAGCAGAAGGAUUUGGUUUCUAAGUUGUUGUUUUGCGUUUUCUUUUUUCUCAACAAAGAAUGCAUUUAUUAAAUAUGGAAAUCAGAAAAACAUUGUUUUGUCAAAGUCUACAAAUAUGGCCAAAGUAAAGCCAUAGAGGAUUCCAAAACUAAGAAAAUAAAGUAAAAUGUGGCUAAAUAAAACCCUGCAUCGCUCAUAUCAAGAUUUGAAUCUCCACAUCGGUGGCUCGUUAAUGGUCUUUACCAUAUGAAGACAGUAUAGUGACCCGAUCUUCUAACUCCUGUCGAGACAUAGAACAUUUAAAAAAACAUGGUUAAUUGGUGAAGCCUUCUUCUUAUUAUAAAUACUCUGUUCUACUUAAAGAUGCACAAAAUUGUAAACACGAACCUAAGAGAGAGAGAGAGAGAGGGGGACUGGGGGAGAGAGAGUAAUCUAGUGCGGGAUUAUUCACCUGCACCAAAACAAGGAACAAACCAACGAGCCUCUCCAAUCAAGAUGCCGCGGUGUCGAAUAGGUUUGAUAGCCUGCUUAGGAAUCUCAUACGCAGAGAUCUUGUGCGUAGGAAAUUCAUAGGUAGCAACUUCCCGAAUAGAUGAAUUAGAAGUGUGACAGUAAUAUAUGGAAUCUUUCUUGAUACCGGAUACGCCUUUGGUUGGCAAAGUGACGCUCAAAUCCCAAACCAACGACUCCUCGUCCUCGAAAGAAUGCACUCUCUCCCAGUCCGCAGCAUCGUCGUCGUCGCCCAACCCUUGCACCCGAAACGACUCCUUCGUCUCUCUUUUGCUACUCAUCUUGUAGAUUUGGAACGGGAUUCUUUUGUGAGUGACUGUCACCCAUUGGAUCAUCACAACAUCUCCAGACGUGGUUAGUCUCAUUCCCCUCCUACGAUUAGGAAACUCGGUAACAAACGGUCGAUGGGAGUAUGGAUGAUUGUCGAUUUGUCUAGGCAAGUCUCCAAGAGAAAAGUCCAAGAUUCUGAUGCUACCAUUGUAAGUAUGUAUGUAAAGCUUCUCGUCUUUGUAGGCCAUAUCCAAACACCCGAAUAGCUUCCCACAAGUGCUUGCCGGAAUCUCAAACCACUCUUGCUCUCUUUUCCUGCAAUAAUAUAUGUAGGCACCCGGAUGACAUGCCUCUUUGUACGACCACACAACUAAGUAGUCUUUGGUUUUUUCGUCUACCCACAGAACCGAAUUCCCCACUACUACACUGUUUAUUCUGAAAUCGUCGAAGAGUAGGUGGAAAAUAUAGUUACCGGGUCUCUCGAACUUUGUGCCGCUGUUUGAAUAUUCAAGAGGUGGGAGACGAAUGAGCUCUGGCGUGAAGGGAUUAAUGAUGUAGAAAUUUAUUUCCUUGUCAAAGACCAAGACCCAACUCCCACAACUCGCCACGCCACGACACUCGGCAAAGCGACCUAGGUUUUGUGUUCUGUAAAACUUUUCUUCUUCCGAAUUAAACAUGAGCCAGUGCGUGUCUUCGUAGAGAAUCAGCCACGGAGUAUGGUUUUUUCUAGGUGAGGAUGAUUUGGAAGCAAAGUACCACGACGAACAAACGGUCUUAGCUCGAGCAAAAUCUGUAAAGCUCAAGUGCUUGAAAACCAAUGACCAGAUGUCUGUGACAAGUUCCGACCAAUUCGGAGUAUCACCAUCUGUUGCCAUCGCUGUAAUUGAUUUCGUAUGCAUCGGUUGAGGUUGAAUUUAUACACACAAUCACAAACUAGGGUUUUCCGGAAAAAAAAAAAAGAAUUUUGAUAUUUCUUUCUUGUAAGAAAGGAAAUUUACCGUCCUAAAUUUUAGGAAAUCCAACCAAGGAUCAAUUGAAUUCCAAUUCCGUCUCCAGAAAUCCUGCAAGCACAAAUUUCGCAAGGCAGAUUCAGAUUUCAAAGAUAGUGAGAAAUCAUAAGCAAAAGGAGAAGCAAUGUUGACGGGGAUCGAAUAGCUUGCGCCGACUUGAGCAAAGGUACUCACAUUUUUCGUCUGAUUUGAUUUUUCUUAUUGGGUAUUUUGGGAUGUCUGCGGUUUGUACUGCACGGAAGAUGACAGUAUCGUCUGACUCUCGAUGCUUUAUUUGUUUUGACAAAAUGUCACAAAUGCUUUCAUCCGAUAUCGAAAGUGCGGGGAAGAUUUAGUUAUUGAAGAGGCCCGAGGAGGGAUAGUGGGAGAAGGACCAUGUUCUGAGGACGAUUGCUUUGGCUGCUUGAAUCAUUUCGAGCAUGAUCUGCAGAUUGAAUUUGGCUACUUCCUUACGAUCUCGGGUUGGGCUUUUACUGGGUCUAGAAUUGUUUAAGAAGAUCGAAGCCCAAGUCAUCGGUUAUUUCCCUUUUGUGCCAUUGUGUCCUUUUGUUCUGCUAUAUAUGCUUGCUUUAUCAUUUCUUUUUAUUUUGGAUUUAAUGUAAGCUGGAUUUAAUACGACUUUUUUUUCUUUUACAAGUUGCAAUAUUGGUAGUAUUAAAAAAAAAAAUUCCCUCGUAGCUUAUUAUUAUUUUCUUAUGCUCUAAUCGAUUUUUUUUUUUUUUAUAUAUAAGAGUUUAAUGUGUCAUUAAACCUGCCAAAAAAUCUGUAUUUAAAAGAAAUUCCCUAAUACCCUUUUCCUAUAUUUUGAUUUUCAGUCUGAAAGCAAAAAACCCAUCUCCUCUUUUGUGAGCUUCUUCAUAGAAGAACAGUAGUCAAUAGUCAUCGACCCUGUAAAAAACCACCUCAUUCAUCAAAUUAACUGUCAUAUGAAAUGUUGACAAAAUAGAAAUAUGAUUUGAAUUUUACCCUGCCAAAGUACCACGACAAACAAACGGUCUUAGCUCGACCAAAAUCUGUAAAGCUCAAGUGCUUGAAAACCAGUGACCAUAUGUCUGUGACAAGUUCCGACCAAUUCCGAGUAUCAUCAGUUCAUCACCAUCUGUUGACGUCGCUCUAAUCGAUUUUGUAUGCAUCGGUUGCGUUACGUAUUUAUUUAUAGACACAUUUAUCACAAGUAGGCCAGUUUUUUUUUUUUACUUUUUUUAGCAUUAGUGAUUUUUUUCGCAUUAAAAAGGAAAAUCUUAUAAGGAAAUUUUAAAAAAAAAAAUUGAGUAAAAAGGUAAAUAAAACUCUUAUUUCGUUUUUGUCAUGUUUUCACCCGCGAGAUCGGAGAACAACUCAAAUCUCUCCGGCCUUAACCACUUUCUCCGGCGAAAUCCCUAAUUUCUAGGAAAUCUUCCGUCAGCCAAGGAUCAAUCGAAUUCCGAUUCCGUCUGCAGAAACCCUUCAAGGCAAAUUUCAGAUGUAGAAAUCGAAGAUAGUGAGAAAUUAUAAGCGAAAGAAAGAGAAGAAUUGGUGAAGGGAGGCUCGAGGAAUAAUGAGACAAGGACCAUGUUCUGAAGAAGAUUGCUUUAUCUUGUUGAAGCAGUUCGAGCAUGUUCUUGAAUCUGACCCUCUUAUGUGAGUCUCAUGUUCUUAUUAAUUGGUUUGAGCUUUGAAUUGAAUUUGGUUUCUUCCUCUUCUCUUACCAUUAUCCUCACUCCUAAGUUAAUGCUUCCUCUUACUUUGUUUUGUCACUCUGAAUUCAGUGAUGAAGUAGGGUUUAUUCACCCCUCACAGUUCAACCUGCUGGAUGAAGAAGCAGGUUUCUCCAAUGUGUAUCAAAAUGAACUCCAGCCUAACAAUGGAACCUCAAGAAAGUUCUGGAAUCAAGAUCACAAAUUGGGAAUAUCAACUGAUAUUCUUGUUCAAUUAUGUAAAUAUGCCAAACAUGCGUUUCUGCUUGCGCUUGAUGAGUACAAACGCCAUGGAAAUAUCUCUUGUUCCCCCAGUACUCCCGAGAGUGAAGUCAUGAAGCAUAGCCAAGCUGUUUUGCUGUUAAGCUCAGACUUUGGAACUGCAUGGAAUGCUAGGUACUCAUAUAAGUAAUAAUUGUUCUAAUAUGUUUCCUAGUGUUUAACCUCAUCUUGUAUGUGUGUCCUGGAGAUAGGAAGUUGAUUUUGUCAAAAAAGGAUCAACUUUCGGCAUUCACGCAAGAACUUCGUCUUUCUGGGCUCAUUCUUUCAAAUUCUCCUAAGAGUGAGUCAACAUGGAGCCAUAGGUCAGUCUUUAUGAUUCAUUGUAUUCAUUAGAAUCAUUGUUUCCCAUCAUUGUUAUCCUUUAGUAAUGCAAGCACACUUUCUGAUCUUAAGUGCAUUUUAAUUUCUGUUACAGCCUGAAUAGUUCCUACUUGUUCUUGUCCAUUUACUUUCCUCGUAAUAUUUGGUUUUCAUUUUAACAGAAGGUGGAUAAUUAAGAUGAUUUCCCUGGGAUUUCCUACACUACAAGUGAUUAUAACCAAAGAAUCUGAGUUAGUGGAAUCAAUAGGCGAGGUUUAGUUCCAGAUUUGAUGCUUACAUUAAUGAAAGUUCAUCAUAUAUCUGAUGAAACAAAUAUUGGUUUCUCCUAAUCUUCACAAUUUGGCUAUCAUGUAUAUAUUAAAUGGUCGAUCACUCUGACCAUUCCUACUUAUAUGACAAGACCACUUACUUUGUUCCUAAAAGAAACUAGCUCCUAAUCAAAAUUCAUGCCUUUUGCAGAGAUCAAAGAUGAACUAUCGUGCAUGGUAUCACCGUUUGAUUAAUUAGUGUAGAGAUGGGCACGGUAUGAAGAUCUAGCACCUAUCAUAGGGAUCUGUUAUUAAAGAAACCACCAAGUUGGAUUUUGUAGACGCACCCCAAGUACAUAAUUUCUCUCAGAGUUUUUUGGACGACAAAGAUAGUUUGUAAACAGUUUGUUGUCGACUUGUCGUGCUACUAUGGAGAUGAUCGAAUUAGUGACUUAUUUGAGUUGUUACAAAUUUUCUUUCAGGCCCUAUGGCUUCACCGGCGGUUCCUCUCUCUUAAUUGGAUAAUGUAUUUCACUUGCAAUGAUUCAGAUGUUUCACCUGAACCCGGAGAGAGUAUCAUUAUGAAUGAAGAAAUUGCCAUCUUCAUUAAUAAUGAGAUCCGUCUCCUAGAAUCUGCUAUGACUGUUCCGGAUACCAAAUUUGAAGAUUUCCAAGCUCAAGCAUUGCAUACUGGUGUCUACAUGCUAUGGCUGACAAAGGUAACAGUGAUCUUGUCCAAAUAAAGUCAUCAAAAAAAUUGCCAAUAUUGUCAAUCACACGUGUGCAGAAAAUAGCAGAAUGAUGGAAAUAUGGUGGACUUGACGUUUUCUCUGAUGAUUCAUUGAUUUUCUGGUAUGCAUUCGUUUAUGAGCAGAAAAUGCCAGAAUUGUGGAGAAUGCUUGAGGAGAAGCUUGGAACAGAGAAAGUGAAGUGUGUAAUGAGCACAAUUGCUCAAGAGAGACCCUCACAUCAUUUGGUGAAUGUCUGAAGGUUCUCUUGAGAGUUCAAAAUGCAAUAUCUUCUUACACUUUUACGUUAAUUAGCCAGAAGACUGCAGUCUCCAUAAAUUGUUGUCAAACCAUGUCUCAGAACCUCUGUUUGACAUUUUUCCUUUGCCGACAUAGCUUAAUAAGUUGAUUAAUGAAGAAGUUGACCGAUAAACCUUUGUUAUCAAGUGUUACACGAGUCUUUGUAGCUCAAUCUCGAUGCUUAUUUGUCUUGAAAAUGUCACAAAAGCUUUCAUCAGAUAUCGAAAGGGGACGAUCAAAUUCUUGGGUGCUCUCCUUGGACAAAAACAAAUCUCGAAUGCUCUUGUUUUAAAAAAAAACAAUUUUAUUUUCAUUUUCUUUAAUCCAAAGAGAGUAAAAGAGACAAUAACCCCUUAUAUUAUAUAUUCAGUUAUUUACCAGUCCAAGUAUGGCAAUUGGGUCAUCCAUAUCCGAAUUCGUUGUUAUCGGAUCAAAUCUAUUUAAAAUCUUCUUUUUUUUUUUUCUGUUGAAUCACAAAUUUUCGUUUUCUCCUGCAUAAAACAAAAAUUCAACUAUGUACAACUUGGGUAUAUCUACGCACACUUCCAAAUUUUUGUAUGUAUAACUAGAUAUUCAACUAUGUACAAAUUUUUGUAUGUACGCGGGUCUAUAUUUUCCCUAAAUAAAAAAAUGAUUUUUUUUAGAAUGAUCUAUAGAUAUAUGGUAUACCGCAUGUCAAUAUUUUAUAACUAAAAAAUCAAAAUUUAAGUUGUAUUUGUUUUAUUUAGUGUUUAAGAUUGUAUAAUUGUAUUUUGAUCGCUAAUUCUAGGAUUUCACCCGUAAUAUACCAUCCCGUAUUAAUAUCGAUCUAAAUCCGUCCCACUAUAUAACCCCAUCCCGUGAAAUUAAACAUCAUUUUUGUAAUUUUUUUUAUAAAGUUCAAAUAUUUCUAAUAUUUGAAACUUCAUAAAAGUUUUAAUACGACCCAAACUUCAUAAUUGUAUUUUGAUUGUUAUAUCUAGGAUUUCACCCGUAGUAUACCGUCUCGUAUUAAUAUCUUUUAUAAAUAUUUAUAAUGUUUAAACUACUUAUAAAUUCUUAUAAAAUUCAAAUAUUUAUAAUAUUUGAAACUUCAUAAAAGUUAUAAUAUUAUAAAUAAUUAAAACGUUUAAUAAAGUUAGACUUUUUUAAAAGUUUAAAUAAUUAUAAUAUUUAUUUUUUUAAUAAAUUUUAAAUAUUUGGAUCCACAUUUAUACUAUAUACUAUAGAAAUUAGAGUUUAUGAGUUUAAUAAGUAUACUUUAAUAAGAAUUAUUACAGUAAUAAAAUUUACAAUCAAUUAUAUAUGUCUUACAAUUUGGAUGUAUGAAAUUGUUGAUCUCAUUUGUAAGCAUGAGUGGAAUUCAAAACAUUUGGGUUAUAGUUUGUAUUUUCGUUUUUUAUUUUUUCGUUUAAGUUUUUUAAAAAUCAAUGCUAUCAAAGUGUAGUUAUCUUUUAUAUAUAUAUAUAUAUUAAGAUUAUCAUUAAACAUGAAGAUUUACCUAGAAAAAAUAGGGUGAAUAAAAAAAACUAACCAUAUGAAAGAAUCUGACGUAAAUUUAAAGCAUAUGCUCUUGAUAAUGGCAAUCAUCAAUGGGUUGCUCAUCUUGUAUAAGAUUAUCUGCGCAAGACAUCAAAUGUUUAGUAAAUUCAUGAAUCAGAAAAAUGAAAGUUCAUAUAACAAAUAAAGAUUGGAAUGGGUAAGAAGAGGUAUUUGUUUGAUGAGUCUUCUAAUCGAGUAAAACUGUGGUAUUUAUAGGGUAGGUAGGCAUCUAGGUUUAUUGUUAAGGUAGUUUGAUAAUAUCUUGGAGAGAAAGUAGAAAAUCAAAGAUAUUAUAUACAACGAAAGUUUAGGAUAUGUUUAAGGAAAGAUUAGGAAAUCGUUAUAUAACAAAAUUUAUUUGAAAAAGAUUGUAAAUGAUUUGGUUUUGCAGAGAAUCUUAAAAAAAAGCUAAGCAACCAUUUAAAAGGAAUAGAGCCGAUUAAUGUGGUAAUUAGUUUAGGAAAUCACAUUAAACCGAAUUAAAAAAAUAAUUAUAGUCAUAACUUUGUUUCUUAAAAUCAAAUGUUAAGAAAAAUAUCGAAGAGUAUAUAAUUAUGGUAUCAUCGUUGAGAUUUUCUUGGGCGGGAAUUAUGGAUUCAAUUAGAGAAGGGAACCAUAUAAUGGAAAGAAUUUAAUUAGCCAUAAUUAUGUUUUAAAAAUAUUUUAUUGCAUAAUAUAAAGAGAAUAUAGAUGAUAUAUGGUAUGUGGAUGUAAUUAGUUAAGAUGGCAUAAAUAUUCGAAAAUCAUCUCAAGAUAAAGAGUAAUAUAGCCUAUUAAUAUGGGAAGAAGUUAAGGAAUAAGGAAACAUAAAUAUAUGUGUAAUUAUCUAUAUUAAUGACGUUUUUUUGGUUAGAGAUAUGUAGAAUUAAAUGAUAAUUUGGUAUUAAUUAAAUGCUAUCAAAUAUCUCGGAGAUUUUAUUUUAGAAACUAAUCGUGGACUAAGCAGAGAUUUUUGCAAGAUUCGUAAACGGAAAAUCUUUAAUGCUACUAUUGAUAAAAAGGAAUAGAACCAAUUAAUGUGGGAAGUAGUUAAGGAAAUAAGAUUAAAACGAAUUGUAUGUUUAAUUUAGUCUUAAAUGUCGUUUUUAUUACAAUAUUCCUUAAAUCUCUUAUUCUAGAUCCGAAUAGGUUUAAACCGGGUAAAACCCGGAUCCAAAUGAUUAAAAGCAAAUAAAACCUGUAAAAAUGAAUAUGUAGAUAUGAGUUUAAUACCAUUAAAUUAAUCAAAGAUUUGUAAUCAUAAUUGGAAACGAAUAAUGCAGUAAAUGCGAUUUAGUAAUGUUGUAAAGAAUAUGUCAUUUAUGUAGAAUGAUUGUUGCGAUUAGUUUCCAAUUAGUUUUAUUUUUGGGAUUAUAGUAUCUCAAAUUUUAAACUAAUUUAGAUUUUAUUGUUUUGUUUACAUAAAUACGAAAAUAAUUUGUUCACCCACAUCAUAAAAUAUUACCAAAAUAUAUAUAUAUAGUAAUAUUAAAUAAAAGAUUAUAUAACUAACUAUUUUCAUUUGAUGGUGUAGACAAAUUAUUAUUAAUAUUUAUGUAAUUUAAUUACAAAAAUAAUUUAGAAAAAUAACAAAUAUUACUUUUUAUAACAAAACAAAAUAUUAUUCGUAAAAACAAUAUUUAUUAUAAAAAAUAUUUUGAGAAUCCUUUAGAAAUUUAAUAUUAGAUAUUCAAAUAUAUCAAAAACAUAAUUAUGGAUUAUGUGAAGAUUAGGAUAUAUAAUCUUCAAAUAAACAUAUUUUAUUAUGAUUUCCUUAUGGAUGUAUAUAUUAAUUGUUAUUUUGAUUUUAAAUUUAUUGCAAUUUAAAUGGGGAAUUGCCUAUAUUUAAUCUGUUAUUGUAAAAGAAAAAUGAUGUAGCUUAUUAUUGGAGUAUUUACACAAAUUUAUUAACAUAAUAUAUAUAUAUAUAUAUAUUGUUAAAAAAUAAAUACAUUUUUCUUUAUAAUUUCAUAAUAUAUUUAUUGUUAAAAUCUGGACAUUUAUUAUGAGCAUAAAUAUGAAAAACGAUUUUCCAUUAAAAUUGGCUAUUUAUUAGAGUCAUUAAUAUGAAAGAUUAUUUACCAUUAAAAUAGGUAACUUCUUUGUAAUUAAAGAAACAUUAAACGGAAUAAGUAGAUGAAUUAAAGACAACAUGGCUUCAUUUAUCAGUUUGUAAUUAAGACAACAUCCCUAAAAUUGCUUAUCCAAGAUCCGAACAGACUAAAACCGGGUCAAACCCGGAUCCAAAAGAGUUUAUGCAAAAAUCCCCUGUAAAAAUGUAUAUGUAGAUUGUGUAGAAUUUGAUUGCAUAUUGGAAUUGUUUUUGUAUAAUUUGUGUCGAUUUUGUAGAAUUGUUGUUGAAUUAAAGGUAUAACUAGCAGUAUUUUCUCGGUCAUUUCCGAAAGCCUAGGAUUACUACAUCAAUCACAGUACAUGAGCAAAUUUAGUUUGGUCAUUCAAACUCGUCUUCUUUUAAUUUUUUUUUUUCUCAGAAAAGAAAUAAAAGUUAGUCAUCCUCAGUGAAAUAAGAACACAACUUAAAAAUCAACCAAUCGGAUCGGCGAUUAUUUUUACCAACUUGGACAAAAUCGUCACGGUCUCCCUGUACCAUUCGAUCGGAAUACCGACCCCUAUACAUAAGCCGCCCUGCCUAGGAUAUGUUGAUACAUAUCAGAAAUUGGCUUUGGAAAAUUAUGAUCGGUACUAUUAAAAGUAUUCGAGACACUUGAAAUCUCGCUUAAAACAAAUUUAUUGAACUAAUUUAUUCAAUGACACCAAUUAUAAUAGGAAUAUAUAUUAUCUUAGAAAUAUUAAUCACUAAACUGUGAUGGGCCAACCAAAUGGGCCCAACCCAAUAAUCCAUAUUCGUUCGUUUGUUAGUAUCAUGAGAACUAGGGUUUUAGUUUAUCAGAGAAAACUGGAGCAGUGUUGGCGCGUGAUUCGUCGGAGAUGGUACUUCGUGAUUGGAGAGCAGAUGCAAGAACGCCCCGAUUUUUUGUGGAUUCUGAGGAAUCGAUUGAUGAAGAUGCGUUGGCUGUUGCAGAAACAGAGGAUGGUGGUAGCUUCUUUCUUGACACAUGGGGUCAAAUCAGGAGAAAUCGCCCGCCGGUGCGACCGAAGCUCUUAGAUCUGUGUCUGCGAGGAGUUGCGGAAAACUCACAUGCGUUAUCUUCUCUGCAACUUGUACCAGAUGAUUUGAAAAGCAGGAUAGCGUCUAUGGUGCCUCGUUUGAGUAAGAUCGAUGCCAAUUUCGUGAAGCUUUUGGUUCAAGAUUCGCCAGCUGAGGUUAUUGUCAAGGACUGCUCAAGUUUGGAAGAGAAUGAUGUGAAAGAUAUUCUCUCUGCCUGUAACGGAGAUAAGUUGCAAGUAAGUUCAGUUUGUUUUUCUCCAAGUUUCCUGCAUAUAGACUCGAUUUUACUUGGUUGUUGUUGUGUAAGAACUUUGUUCCCCACAUUUGUUUCUUUUGGACAAAUAAACCAAUGUUUUCGUAAGUUCAGUUUGUUUUUAUCCAAUUUCCUGCAUAUAGACUUGAUAGUCUGACUCAAUUUUUGUCUUUUAGAGAGAACGUUUUAGUAGCUUCUCUAAGAUCUUUUCCCCAUUGGUUUCUUUGUCAACUAAGUUCAGUCCGUUUUUCUCCAAUUUCCUGCAUAUAGAUUGGAUUUUCUGACUUAGUUUUUGUCUGGUUUGAGUUAACUUAUCUAAGAUCUUUCUUCCUCAUUUGUUUCUUUUGUCCUGAACGUCAAAGAGAUUUUUUCUGGUAUUUAACUGUUUUUGUUUUUUAAUCCCAGGUCUUAAUACUCUACUUCUGUGCACAAGCCCAUACAGAUAGCUUGUUGUCCAUCUCAUCAAACAGAUUUCCAGUGUUGUCAUCGUUAUCUCUGAGGGGUGCAUUCCGUCUGACUGAUAAUGCGCUGGACUCGAUCUCAAAGGCUGCUCCUUCACUUGAGUUAAUUGACCUCUCAGAGUGCUCUAUGCUCACAUCCUUUGCGAUGGUGAUUCUGGUCAACAACUUUGGAGCCACUCUGAGAGGUCUUGACAUUGAAGGCUGUCAAAUCGACCUAUCUCAAGUUUCAGAGGUCGUAAAAAACUUCAAGUCCCUCGAAUAUUUUUCAAUCGCAGGAGUUGAAGGUGUUGAUGAUGGUUUCGUUGUCAAGUUUCUUGAAGUCUGCGGUUCUAAGUUGACUGGUCUUUCUCUUGCCAGAUGCGAGUAAGUCUACUAUCUUUAUAUAGUCACGCUAGAAACUAUUUUCCCCAGUUUCUUGCAUAUAUUGUCUAAGAUCUUUGUUCCCCAUUGGUUUCAUUGGUUUAAGCAAUUUCAAUAUGUUUUUCUCCAAAUUUCCUGCAUAGAAACUGGAUUUUCUGACUUUGUUUUUGUGUUUACAAAGAGGGAAUUCGUUUUGGUAUCUUGUCCAAGAUCUUUGUUUUCCAUUGGUUUCAGUGGUUUAAGCAAUUUCAGUCUGUUUUUCUCCAAAUUUCCUGCAUAUAGACUGGAUUUUAGGACUUAGCUUUUGUGUUUACAAAGAGGGAAUUCGUUUUGGUAUCUUUGUUCCCCAUUGGUUUAAGCAAUUUCAGUCUGUUUUUCUCCAAAUUUCCUCCAUGUAGACUGGAUUUUCUGACUUUUUUUUUGUGUUUACAAAGAAAUUAGGAAUUCGUUUAAAUAGCUGAGCACGCUUUCUAUUUCCUUUGUGGUAUAUAGGGAUGUAAGUGACGUCUCCAUCCAAGCAAUUGGAAAAUAUUGUGCAAAUCUAGGUGCACUUGAUGUUUGGGGCGUGGUUAAGUUGACCGACAUGGCCCUGAAAUAUAUGUCUGUCUGCAGUUCGCUGUGCGUUCUCAAAUUUGGGAGUAACAGUUUCAGGUUUGCCCAUCCCAUGUGUCUCUAACUUUUAUUACAUCACAAAGUUGAUUCAUGCAUUCAUUUAACUUGGUAUUAUACCUGGCAGUGAUCAGGCUAUAGCUACUUUUCUUGAAGAAGGGCCAGGACCUUCUCUGCAACAGUUGUGCCUUCAUAAAAUCAGGGAGGUUAGUACCUUAAGCAUGCCUCGUUCUCUUCAUUGGCUUCUUGCUUGCUUUACUACAAGUAAUGUCACAUUUUGAAUUUGGUUUUGGAUCUCUUCACUGCCUGCAGGUUGCUCAACAAACUGCCACGACUUUAUCUGAGUGUUGCAAGAGUUUAUGGUAUCUUGACCUAUCUUGGUGUCAGAAAAUCACUGGAGAAGAUGUAUGCAAGAUACUCGUUGGUUGCCCGUCACUAAGCCAAGUUAGGGGUUUUGGAUGCAAGAAGGUACUCAGAAAAGCUCUUGAAGCUGCUGAAGUGAUCAGAUCUUAAAUGUAAUCUGGUUGACAAAGAAGUGAUAGACUUUCUUAACAUAUCGUAAAAGACUUGGGGGUUUUGAAGUGAUAUAUUUUUCAUGUAUGAGACAACUUAUGUGUUUUGGAUGCAAGCAAGUACUCAGAAAAGCUAGAUUUUAAAUGUAAUCUUUCAAUCUAAAUUUUAAGGGGGUGUUAUUGGUUUGGGAUUUAGAAAGACUUUUAAUGAGUUUAAAAGUUAUGUAGAAUAUGUUGUUAUUCAAUCAAGAUUUUUAAAAACUCUAUUACAAUUUGGUGUUAUUGGUUUGAGAUUUAUAAAAAGUAAUCUAAAAUCUUUAUAAAUCUAGUGUUAUUGGAUUAAGAGUUUUAUAGAGUCAUUAAAAGUUUUGUGUUAUUCAAUUAAAACAAAAGAAUCUUGGAUUGUUGAUAAAUUAAAAUAUUAUGUUAUUGGUUUAGGAUUUUAUAUAAUUUUCUUCAUAAAAAAAGUCAUGAAAACUCCUCCAUAAAAUAGAGAGAUUGUGAAUAGAGUCCAUGACUUUGUAUGUGUCAGCAAUCUUUGACACCGGAAUCGUCUCCGUCGCUGCUUCUCCUGUUCUCCAGCAAUUUUGGUGCUAGAGAAUCAAAAGAUCCAAACACAAUGAAAACAAGUAAAUAUUAUAUGAACAUACAAGAAUCUAACGAUCGACACACGAAAUUCAUAAGCGAGUAUUAUGAUAGAAGAAGCGUACCUCUGUAACUCUGAUAAACAACCUAGUAUAUAGAAGAAAACCAGGCCUACACAGAACAUGUUAUAUAGAAGAUAGAAGAUGGUCACUAGACGUUAAUAAAAAUUGGACAAGAUUUUGGAAAUAUUUUGUAGGAAAAGUUUGGAAAAGUUAUCAAGAGUAUACAAGAUUAUGGAAAAAAGUUUUAAAGACUUUACAAGAUUUUGGAAAAUAAAUCAUCAAGAUAAUAUAAAACUUUUUAACAAUCUUUUAAAAUCCUUUAUUAUCAAGUCACUAAAAGUCUUUCUAAAUCCCAAACCAAUAACACCCCCUAAAUGUAAUCUGUUUGGCAAAGAAAGAAGUGAUAGAUUUUUACCAAACAUGCAUAUAUGGAGCUAAUACGUACAUGCUUUUCAUGCUUUUCUAUAUAUGCAUGGGAGAGAGAGAGAGAGGACUUCUCGACUAAAACUUGUACAUCUUCAGCAUAUACAUAUACUAGAUAAUGACCCGUCCAUCGGACGGGUUUAAUUUUUUAAAAAUGAAAAUUAAAUUUAACAAAAAAACUAAUUAACAACGUUGUAAGUGAAAUUUUUCUUUCAAAAGUAAAAAAAUAUUUACUUUUUUCACUGUUGCAUUGUUUCUUUAACCACUAAAAUUAUUAAUUCAAAAUUAUUUUGAAUGAAAGAUAUAUCACAUAACAAUAACUCACAACAUACUUAUAUGAAGAAUUAAAAAUAUUCAUCAUAAAGUUGGUGAAUGAAACCAAAUGGUUUUGAAUUAAACACGUUAAAAAUAUAAAGAUGAUAAAUCGACUAAAUCCCAUAGCCUUCCAAGCUAACGUUGCGGGAUCGAUUCCGGUAUACUUGAUUUUAAUGACUUUAUGAUCAAUUAAUAAAAAUUGAUAAAUUCAAAAAAUUAGAAGCACGAUGAUAUAUGAAUCUUAUAUAUAAUUUAAAUAUGAACAUAGAAAUUUAAAUAAAUAAUUUUGAAGUAGUAUAAUUAAAUUCAAAAUAUCAAAAACAAAGAAGAAGCAUAUAUGGUUCUUACAUAUUCAAGAAUUUCAAAUAAACAAUAUAAAACUUUACUUAAAGUCUUCACAUAUUUCUAUUUAGAAAAUAAAUUUCUAUAAAUAAUGUAAAACUGUAAUUUAAAUCAUGACAAUCUCACAAUACUACAAUCAUAAUUGAAGACAAACAAAAAACACAGUUAAGUAAAAAAUAUUACAAAAAGGAAAAAAAAUUAAUCUCUCAUAUUUUAAUUGAAAAAAUCAACUCAAAUAAAUAAUAUGAGGACUAUUUUAAAUAAUUCUUCACAUAUUUCUAAUUGGAAAGGAAAUUGAGAUAAAUAAUAGAAAAUUGUAAAUUAAAUCAUGACACAUGAUAAAAAAUUUGACUGAUACUAUUAAUUACUAAUUUUGACUCAUAGGUUCAUGAUACUAUUAAUUACUAAUUUUGAGAAACCAAAAUAUAUCAUAUUAGUUAUAUAAUAACGUAUGUUUCCUUUUUAAUAAACUUGCCUGAUUUUUUUCUUGUUUAAUUAAAAUAUAUAUUUUUAAAUAUAAAUGAAAUUUUUGAUUUACACAUGUCAAAAUCUAAGAUCGAUAGAUUUGCCACGUGUCACGAUCCUAUGAGUUAUUAACUUUGAAAACCAUACUUUAUUUAUUUAUUUUUUUUUUUUUUAACUUUGAAAACCAUACUUUAUAUAAUAAGAUAGGGAAACUUAGUGGUCUGCGAGAGUGGUCGCAGGAUCUUCUCACUUUAAUUGAUUUUACUCUUAUCAAAGUUUAAAAUAAUUUAACCUAAUAACUAAUAAGAAACCUGUAUCUUUGAUUUAACCUACUCCUUUAAGUAGAGAUGUUAAUAUGGGCUAAUUCACCCUAUUUAAAUCGACCCCAUUUAAAACCCACCCCAUUUAGAUCCACCCUAUUUAACCUCAUUUAAGUUUAUACCCCAUUUAUCCUUCCCAUUUAAACACAUUUAAAUUUCCUUUACCCAUUUAAACCUAUUUAGACCCAUAUAACAUUGUUUUGUUCUAAAUAAUAUAAUAUAAUCAAUAAUUAUUUUAUUUGAUUAUUUAAAAUUUACAAAUUAUUUCAUUAAAUAUAAUUGAUAAAUAAUGAUAUAACUGUUUUUAUUAUUUUGUUGAAAAAAAUAUAGUUUACAAAAAACGAAAUUUGACGGAGCUUCGGAAUUUGGAGAUUGCCGAUAGCAGUUUAACCGGAGAGAUUCCGUCGGAGAUCUCGAAACUCACCAAUCUUUGGCAGUUAGAGCUUUACAACAACUCCUUGACCGGAAAACUUCCUACCGGAUUCGGAAACCUGAAGAAUCUGACUUACUUGGAUGCUUCAACAAAUCUUCUACAAGGCGAUUUAUCGGAGCUCAGGUCUCUGACUAAUCUCGUUUCACUACAAAUGUUCGAAAACGAAUUCUCCGGUGAGAUUCCGAUGGAGUUUGGCGAAUUCAAGGAUCUCGUGAAUCUCUCUCUGUAUACCAACAAGUUAACCGGUUCUCUGCCUCAAGGACUCGGUUCACUUGCCGAUUUUGAUUUCAUCGACGCAUCAGAGAAUCUCUUAACCGGACCUAUCCCUCCAGAUAUGUGCAAGAACGGGAAGAUGAAAGCUCUGCUUCUCCUGCAAAACAAUCUCACUGGCUCCAUCCCUGACUCGUACGCUAGCUGUUUGACUCUGGAACGGUUCAGAGUAAGCGAGAACUCGCUUAACGGAACUGUUCCCGCGGGACUUUGGGGCUUACCGAAGCUCGAGAUCAUCGAUAUAGAGAUGAAUAACUUCGAAGGUCCGAUCACUGCCGAUAUAAAGAACGGUAAAAUGCUCGGAGCAUUGUAUCUAGGGUUCAACAAGUUGUCUGAUGAGCUGCCGGAGGAGAUAGGUGACACUAAAUCUUUGACUAAGGUUGAGCUUAACAAUAACCGGUUUACCGGGAAGAUUCCGAGCUCCAUUGGGAAACUGAAGGGACUUAGCAGUCUGAAGAUGCAGAGCAAUGACUUCUCUGGUGAGAUACCGGACUCGAUUGGAUCAUGCUCGAUGCUCAGCGAUGUAAACAUGGCUCAAAACUCGCUAUCCGGUGAAAUCCCGCACACGCUUGGAUCUCUUCCGACGCUCAACGCUUUGAAUCUUUCAGACAAUAAGCUCACCGGGAGAAUCCCAGAGAGUUUGUCGUCUCUAAGGCUUAGCCUUCUUGAUCUGUCUAACAACAGAUUAUCCGGUCGUAUCCCUCUGAGUUUGUCAUCAUAUAAUGGUAGCUUCAAUGGCAAUCCUGGACUCUGUAGCAUGACGAUCAAAUCGUUUAACCGGUGCAUAAAUCCUUCGAGAUCGCAUGGAGACACUCGCGUAUUCGUGCUGUGUAUAGUUUUCGGGUCACUGAUCUUGCUUGCGUCUCUUGUGUUUUUCUUGUACCUGAAGAAAACAGAGAAGAAGGAAGGCCGUUCGCUUAAACACGAGUCUUGGAGUAUAAAGUCAUUCCGAAAGAUGAGUUUCACUGAAGAUGAUAUCAUCGAUUCAAUCAAAGAAGAGAAUUUGAUCGGUAGAGGAGGUUGUGGCGAUGUGUACAGAGUAGUACUUGGUGAUGGUAAAGAAGUUGCGGUCAAACACAUCCGGUGUAGUAGUACUCAGAAAAAUUUCAGCAGUGCAAUGCCGAUUCUCACUGAACGGGAAGGAAGAUCGAAGGAGUUUGAAACAGAGGUGCAAACGCUUAGCUCAAUACGACACUUAAAUGUGGUAAAACUCUAUUGUAGCAUCACGAGCGAUGACUCAAGCUUGCUGGUGUACGAGUACUUGCCUAAUGGAAGCUUAUGGGACAUGCUUCACUCUUGCAAGAAAUCGAAUCUCGGUUGGGAAACACGGUAUGAUAUAGCUCUUGGUGCAGCGAAAGGGCUUGAGUACUUGCAUCAUGGGUAUGAGAGACCGGUAAUUCACCGUGAUGUUAAAUCAAGCAACAUAUUGCUAGAUGAGUACUUGAAACCUAGGAUUGCGGAUUUUGGUCUUGCCAAGAUUCUUCAGGCCAGCAAUGGCGGUCCAGAUUCCACCCAUGUCGUUGCGGGAACCUAUGG
RNAcentral lists this long non-coding RNA (29844 nucleotides) under Arabidopsis lyrata. Its description in RNAcentral is "long non-coding RNA (ALYR_LNC002979)". Lineage: Eukaryota; Viridiplantae; Streptophyta; Magnoliopsida; Brassicales; Brassicaceae. The record is from RNAcentral.